GUUGGAAGGAACAUCACAGAUCAUCUGGUUUCAACCCCCUGCCAUGGACUGGGAUGCCUUCUGCCAGCCCAGAUUGGCUGUUUGCCAUGUGGGAAGUGCAGGCUUUUGCUGAGACUUGGGUAAUGACAGUCUCAUCUGAGAGAUGCCAAGAGUCACUGACCUUCCAUCAAUCAGCACACAGCAGUUUCUCAUUCUUUAGAGUGGAUAUUAAGAUUUGCAAAUAGAAAUUAAAUCCCUCCAGGGGAUUCUCUCCAAGAAGAGAAUGAAUGCGGUCUGCUGCAGAUGACCCAGGGAAACAAACAGACCAAGGUGUGGAAAUGAGCAAACUUGUGAGUCUUCAUCCAGAAAGGAGUCCAGAGCAAGCUGGAGGUAGAAAACUCCAGGAACUUUUUCAGGAAAACUCAGCCAAAUUGUUGCAAAUGUACCGAACCUAUGUACCAGAUCCAUGUCAGUGGGG
Molecule: long non-coding RNA, 457 nt
Filed under: Cyanistes caeruleus (blue tit)
Lineage: Eukaryota; Metazoa; Chordata; Aves; Passeriformes; Paridae
Description: lncRNA (ENSCCEG00000021306.1)
Source: RNAcentral